RNAcentral lists this ribosomal RNA (3244 nucleotides) under Saccharum spontaneum (wild sugarcane). RNAcentral's name for it is "eukaryotic LSU rRNA". The stretch from base 380 to 1818 matches the Rfam family "Eukaryotic large subunit ribosomal RNA". Lineage: Eukaryota; Viridiplantae; Streptophyta; Magnoliopsida; Poales; Poaceae. The record is from RNAcentral.
AUGACUCCUGGCAACAGAUUUCUUGGCUCUCGCAAUGUUGAAGAAUGUAGCAAAAUGCAAUACCUGGUGUGAAUUGCAUAAUCCCGUGAACCAUCAAGUUUUUGAACGCAAGUUGGGCUCGAGGCCUUCUGGCCGAGGACACGUCUGCCUAGGUGUCACGCUAAAAGACACUCCCAACCCACCCUUGGGGAGGGUCGUGGGGUUUGGUCCCGCUUGCCGUAGGGCGCAGUGGGCCGAAGUUGGGGUUGUCGACGAAUCAUGUCAGGCACAACACAUGGUGGGUGACACUUAGUUGUUCUUGGUGCAAUGCCCUGGAACAUGGCCGGUGCAUUGGCCCUAAUGACCCAUGGCGCACCGCAGUGCAUCGCCACUUGAACCAUGACCCCAGGUCAGUCAAGACUACCCACUGAGUUUAGGCAUAUAAAUAAGUGGAGGAGAAGAAACUUACAAGGAUUCCCCUAGUAAUGGCGAGCGAACCGGGACCAGCCUAGCUUGAGAAUCAGGUGGCUUCGUCACCCGAAUUGUAGUCUAGAGAGGCAUCCUCAAUGGUGGACCUAGAAAGGGAUGCCAGGGAGGGUGAGAGCCUCAUCCGGCCUAGACCCUGUCGCACCACGAGGCGCCAUCAACGAGUCGGGUUGUUUGGGAAUGCAGCCCAAAUCAGGCAGUAAAGUCCGUCCAAGGAUAAAUACAUGUGAGAGACCGAUAGCGAACAAGUACCAUGAGGGAAAGAUGAAAAGGACUUCGAAAAGAGAGUCAAAGAGUGCUUAAAAUUGUCGGGAGGGAAGCUGAUGGGGGCUGGCGAUGCACCCCGGUCGUAUGCGAAACGGCUUUUGCUGGUCCGCCAAUCGGCUUAGGGCGUGGACUGUUGUCGGCCAUGCCGGUGGCCUAAGCCCAGGAGCCCUAGGUGCCUCUGGCAGCUAUCAUCGGCACAGCUAGACUCCACGCGCUGCAAGGCACGCUCCUCAGGGCGCUACGCUGCAACGGCCUGCGAGCUCCCCAUCUGACCCAUCUUGAAACACGGACCAAGGAGUCUGACGUGCGUGCUGAGUCGAUGGGUUCUGAAACCUAGGAUGCGCAAGGAAGCUGACAAGUGGGAGGCCUUCAUAGGCUACACCGCUAGUCGAUCCUGAUCUUCUGUGAAGGGUUCGAGUUGGAGCACGCCUGUCGAGACCCGAAAGAUGGUAAACUAUGCCUGAGCGGGGCGAAGCCAGAGGAAACUCUGGUGGAGGCUCGAAGCGAUACUGGCGGGCAAACCAUUCGACGUAUAGGGGUGAAAAACUAAUUGAACCAUCCAGUAGCUGGUUCCCUCCAAGUUUCCCUUAGGAUAGCUGGAGCCUAUUAUGAGUUCUAUCGGGUAAAGCCAAUGAUUAGAGACAUUGGGGGCACAAUGCCCUCGACCUAUUCUCAAACUUUAAAUAGGUAGGAUGGCACGGCUGCUCCUGUGAGCCAUGCCACGGAAUCGGGACCUCCAAGUGGGCCAUUUUUGGUAAGCAGAACUAGCAAUGUGGGAUGAACUGGAAGCCGGCUUAUAGUGCCGAACUACGCGCUAACCUAGAACCCACAAAGGGUGUUGGUCGAUUAAGAUAGCAGGACGAUUGUCAUGGAAGUCGAAAUCUGCUAAGGAGUGUUACAUAUGUGAUAUACAUAGUAAUGUAUAAUGUUUUUGCAAAAUAAAUUAGGUGUACAUUUCUACACCCUAGACCCAUGCUAGGGCCACCCCAAUCCCUAUGUAUGUAUAUUGGAAUCGAGAUGACAAUAGGAUGGAAACUUUAUCUAAUUGUUGAGCUGUACCAGUGGUGUACUGGUUAUGUCCAAUGUACAUCUCUUUUGCCCUAGCUAUGUAAUAGAUCAGACCAGUAGGGAGAAUCUAUCUUGUGCAAAAAGGAACUCACAAUAUAAGUGGAACAUCUAGGCAAUAGGGCCAUGCAUAGAUCGGACUAGCAGGGACAAUCUAUCCUGUGCAAAAAGGAACUCACAAUAUAAGUGGAACAUCUAGGCAAUAUAGCAUGCACAACAUCUAGGCAAUAUAGCAUGCACAACAUCUAUGCAACCGUAUAAACAUGACCAGAAGCAAGGGAUGUACAUCAGUACAAGAAUGGUAGACUAAUUAGUUAAGUCCCAAGUUGCUAGUCCAUCAGUCUGGCUACUACUAAACACCAUUGGUUGCAUAUAGGCCGUUUUAAGGAUCUGGAGUGAAUCUAGGAGGAUGAUAAUAAGUUCAACGCUGUCCUCACACUUCUUGAUAUCGAAACCGUAGAAAGACGCACACGCAGAUUGUUGUGAAGAAAAUAUUGCUUCCACUUUUUUUUGUCUAGCCAAAUGCGGUCGCCAACUGGUUGUCGGUUCCAUAUACAUAAGACUAUAUUGUGUGGUGAGCCUCCCAGUUCCAUGUGUAACUUGAAGACACCUGUGGUCACGUUGUCCUCGUAGAACGGCUUCAGUUUGUUAUAAAAUGCCUUAGAAAGGUACUGCAUGUAGAAAUAAUAAUUAAAAUAUGGAAUGAUAAGCUUAAGAGUCGUCUGACUCAUUUAGGGCAUACUUACAAGUUGAUAUGCGCCUUUUUAUUUUUUCCUUCAGGAUCAGAAGAUUUUGGAAUCUUAUAAAUGCAAAGCACCACAUUGUCUAGCUAACACAUCAAAACCUGCUUAAGGUUUUCACAAAGUGUUAUACCCUGAGUGACAGCGGGCCCCUUCCCUGAAGGCUCAUCAAUCUGGACCUGCUUUGGUGAUGCAGCUCCAGGCUCAUCAAUCCCCUUUCUGCUCACACCAAUCUUCUGUUGCAUCGUCAAUCUAAUUGGAGCUCAAGACUAUGCCCGCCUCCGAUAGAUCUUCUGUCUGAACUGGCCCUAAUGUGGCUCUAGGCACACCAUUUGCUGAUGAAUUGUCACCUAGUUUGGAACUCGAGACUGUGCCCACCUCCGAUAGAUCUUCUGUCUGAACUGGCCCUAAUGUGGCUCUAGGCACACCAUUUGCUGAUGAAUUGUCACCUAGUUUGGAACUCGAGACUGUGCCCACCUCCGAUAGAUCUUCUGUCUGAACUGGCCCUAAUGUGGCUCUAGGCACACCAUUUGCUGAUGAAUUGUCACCUAGUUUGGAACUCGAGACUGUGCCCACCUCCGAUAGAUCUUCUGUCUGAACUGGCCCUAAUGUGGCUCUAGGCACACCAUUUGCUGAUGAAUUGUCACCUAGUUUGGAACUCGAGACUGUGCCCACCUCCGAUAGAUCUUCUGUCUGAACUGGCCCUA